AGGACGAACGCUGGCGGCGUGCUUAACACAUGCAAGUGGAGCGACGAACCAGGCUUCGGCCUGGGGCAGAGCCGCGAACGGGUGAGUAACACGUGGGUGACCUGCCCUCAGCUCUGGGAUAAGCCUGGGAAACUGGGUCUAAUACUGGAUAUGACUGCGCAUCGCAUGGUGUGUGGUGGAAAGUUUUUUCGGCUGGGGAUGGGCCCGCGGCCUAUCAGCUUGUUGGUGGGGUGAUGGCCUACCAAGGCGACGACGGGUA
Molecule: ribosomal RNA, 259 nt
Filed under: uncultured bacterium
Lineage: Bacteria
Description: partial small subunit ribosomal RNA
Rfam family: Bacterial small subunit ribosomal RNA
Source: RNAcentral